CUACAAUUCUUUUUCUUGGCACUUUUAUCACAUUUAAUUCAACCAAAUUUAAUGCGGAAACCGUAGAGCUCUCUAUCAGUUUCAACCAUUUCAUUGCUAUAACCCUAGACGACCAAUCGUUCAAUCACGCUCUUCGAAACAACGAAGAAAUUCCACUGGUCACUGACGAUUGUUCUUCCUUCACUCGAUCGAUCAUCCUAUUUUUUCUGCUACCACGAAACAGAUCGGUCCCAGAUGAUGGUGGUCACCAAACUUCGACUUCGUUUCCUGCUAAAAUUGAUGGUUUUGACGGCCUCUGGUUGAUUGGCGGUAGCCGGAGGGUCGAUUUGAGCAGGUGAUUUUAAUUAUUGUUAGAUCGUAUCCAAUUGUUUUCAUUCGUUCAGAUAAAUUGAAGUUCUACAGAGAAAUUGUAGUUCUGCACACAAGGUGGAGCCAGAAUUUCGAUUGAUUAUUCGUGUUCAUGGGUGGCGGGCUGCAUCAGCUUAUGUUGGUUAAUAUCUUAGGUUCAAACAGAAAGAGAAGAGACUAAAACACAACAUCACUGUUUUUAGACUUGGAUUAUCUUCAUGUAUUUUGUACGCUAGACCCUAAAAUCAAUGGUAUAAGUUCUCUAUAGAGAUAUGGGUUUAACAAAUCCGAAUGACACAUGGGUGUUGCCAUACCUUCAGUUUACUGUUGUAGAAAUUCGGUUCCAAUGUAUGUUAAAGUCUCUGCAGUUCACGUCUUCAUCUUUUUUGAUUCGCCUGCAAUUUAAGGAGUGAAUAUAGCAAAUGAAAGGGUCGAAACAAUUAUAGAUGAAAUUAAUUCAAUGAGGGAGAGAAAGAGAAGAAUACAGAGAGAGGGGGGAGAAGGCCCAAGGCUCUCCGGCCAUAGCGACAUCGAUGACGACAGCGGAUUGAAGCUCGGAUUUCCGAUGGCAGCGCCCGAUACUUGGAUGGUGGUCGAUCAUCCGAAAAGACUGGUCGUUGGGCUGAUCUGGUGGUGGUUAAAGAUCAGGUGAUGGAUUAACCGAGGGUUGAAUGGCACCAUCAUCCUCUUAAAUCGAUCAAGCUUGCAACCUGGCCAUAAUGCUGAAUCUUCCAACAUCUGACAUGAUAGAAUCAUGCUCCAUAGCAGGUCCUGGCUUUAUAAACGUUAAGUUAUCAACACAAUGGAUAGCCAAGAGAAUCCAGAAUAUGCUAUAACAGAUGGCACUGACACAUGGGCACCAAGGCUCUCUGUCAAAAGGGCGAUAGUUGACUUUUCAUCACCCAACAUUGCAAAGGAAAUGCAUGUAGGUCAUUUGAGGUCAACUAUCAUUGGAGACACGAUAGCCCGUAUGCUUGAGUAUUCUAAAGUUGAUGUGCUUCGCAGAAACCAUGUUGGGCGUGGCCAGCCAUGUGGAAUUUAAAAAAAAAACUACAAACAAAAUUAAAAAAACCUACAUUGAACCAGCCAACCACAGCCUGCCAUGUCAACCCCCCCCCCCCCAGGCAGAAUCUCCACGCCAAGCGGCCAACGCUGAUCAAAACGCCAACCCAGGGUGGAGCCCCCGGCUUUAAACGGCCAAAACCCAACAGUCAAUGUGAAACAUAAAACACUUUUAUGCAGAUUUUUCUGCACUGUACAGUGCACACUGCACAACUCUACAACAUUGACUCUUUGCUGCAAGUAAUACAGAUUUAAAACAACAAGUUUAGUUUAUUCAAGGUUCUAAAAAUUUAAUUUAAAAUAUAAUAGUUUAUCAAUAUUUUGGUUCUUUGAGGUUUAUUAGUUCUAUAUAUAGCUUAUUUUUGGUUCUAUAAAAACAUAAAGCUUCUAGAAUUGAAUUAUUGUUUUUUUUUUAUCUUAUUUUUUUUGUUUAAAGAUUAAUAACGUAGAAAAUAUUCUCUAAAAUUAUAUAUAGAGAUUUUUAGUACCAAACGCCUCGUUUACGUGAAGCUCACGCCUAGCGCUUUGCGCCUUGGUUUUUAGGGCUGCAGCCAUGGAGAAUUAUUAUUUUGAUAAAUAUUAUUUGUCAUUUAAUAUUAAUUUAUCAAUGAAUUUUUGAAAAUGACAAAAACUCACAGAUUUAACCACUUUGGUGGCAGCUCAGAGCGUUUCUAAUCGAGUGUUAUUUAGUCAAAAAUGAUUUUUUGAAAGUCUGCAAGUGUGGGUGUGGGGGUUGAUUGCUGGAAGUGGGCUUUCGAUACAUCAGGUAUGUUCACUGUUCGAAGUUUCAGGAAUCAUCUGCAUCAGGCUAGGUUCUUGGACCUGGGAACGGGUUUUGUUGUAACAACUUGACGCCUAUUAAGGUUAAUUUCAUGGACUGGAGAGUGUCACUAAAUAGGGUCUCAAUGAACCUGGAGGAUGUUUUGUCCAUGGUAUGUCCUUUGAUUCGUGCCAGCUGUACCGGAGACAGUGGAUUAUCAAAUUUAAUGAUUAUGUUCUGGGAGACUUCAAUGGUGAAGCUGUGAUAGGCCAGUUUCCCUUGUUAUGAUUGGGGGAGAAAGAGUUUGUUUACGAAUGCUGCAUAACUUCUACGGCUUCACCUGCAUCGAUAGAGGGUUCUUACAUGUUUAUCCCGGGCAGGCGUGUCGUGUUAUGCUCAUCAUAUCUUUUUUUAGCAUUUGUAUUAGAUAAAUUUGUAAAUUGUGUGUAAUCUGUUUGCAGAUUGGCGGAUCCACAACGAAGCCCCUUUGAGGUUGAAAUUGCUAGAUUUCCUUUGGUUUUGCCAGAGUACAUCUUCUGAUGCAACUAUUCUGUUAUCCAUGGUCACUAUCUUGGCUUAAAGCCGUUUGUUUGAUUUCUGUCUCGACCCGUUAGUUAUACUUGUUAGGUAACUGGCUCGGUCUUGGUCUUUUCGGGUUGGGUCUGUUCACAACUGAAUAUCGUUUUAAGGUUUGCUUUAUAUUCCCGUCUG
Molecule: long non-coding RNA, 2881 nt
Organism: Helianthus annuus (common sunflower)
Lineage: Eukaryota; Viridiplantae; Streptophyta; Magnoliopsida; Asterales; Asteraceae
Exons: 8
Source: RefSeq, a predicted model, not a curated record